This is a long non-coding RNA of Saccostrea cuccullata (small rock oyster), 474 nucleotides long. RefSeq lists it as uncharacterized. The record is from RefSeq and is a predicted model, not a curated record. Lineage: Eukaryota; Metazoa; Mollusca; Bivalvia; Ostreida; Ostreidae. The transcript has 2 exons.
GAAAUAUUUUAAGAUAUGAAUGUCACAUUUACGGUGUUGUAUUGUUUAUUUGUCUUGUUUGUAUUUUAAAUUUACUGUGAUAUUUGUUCUAACGUUGUUCCUUAGUUUCUUUCAGUUUUCCCAUUCUGCACCUCUUUUCGAACACCCUCUUUGGUACCUCUACAUUACCUGUAUUUAUAUACCUGAGUUUAGGCUUCCGUCCUUCUUAAAAACCGGCUUUCCAAGAUGUAACAGCACGAGCUCUGAUUGACCAAUUUUUACUGUCCAAGUUUUGUAAAGUUAUAAUAUUUUAUAUCCUUAAUACAGACACUGACUUCUGAGGUCCCGUAAUACGUCCUACGUUCCAGGUUACACGUCCUACGUUACGUCCUGUGUUCGGUGUUGUAUGGUGUGUGGUGUAAUGGUUAUGGUUACUGUGGAGCCGGAAUAUAUACUAUGUACAGUUGAUGUAAUCUAGAUAAAUGUGAAAACGCU